GCCUAGCAAAGUAUCAUGCCGCCUUUGCUCGGCGGAGGUCAGGGGUUCGAAUCCCCUCGGCUCCA
RNAcentral lists this transfer RNA (65 nucleotides) under uncultured Rubrobacteraceae bacterium. RNAcentral's name for it is "tRNA-Ala-TGC". The record is from RNAcentral. Lineage: Bacteria; Bacillati; Actinomycetota; Rubrobacteria; Rubrobacterales; Rubrobacteraceae.